UCCGAAUUGGUGUAGUGGCCAACAUUUGACGCUCUCAAGAUUGGUUUCUCCUAGUAAGAAACCAUGAAAGGUCCGUCAAGCCCGGGGUUCGAUUCCCCGAUUCGGAG
This is a non-coding RNA of Hypoxylon fragiforme, 107 nucleotides long. Lineage: Eukaryota; Fungi; Ascomycota; Sordariomycetes; Xylariales; Hypoxylaceae. The record is from the annotation of a RefSeq genome assembly.